This 120-nucleotide ribosomal RNA is filed under the name Ooceraea biroi (clonal raider ant). The record is from RNAcentral. Lineage: Eukaryota; Metazoa; Arthropoda; Insecta; Hymenoptera; Formicidae.
ACCAACAGUCAUAUCACGCUGCAAUAUACCAGUUCUCGUCCGAUCACUGAAGUCAAUCAGCGUUGGGCAUAGUUAGUACUUUGAUGGGUGACCACUUGGGAACACUGUGUACCGUUGGUC